Small nucleolar RNA from Erpetoichthys calabaricus (reedfish), 140 nucleotides. Ensembl annotates it as small nucleolar RNA, H/ACA box 51. The record is from Ensembl. Lineage: Eukaryota; Metazoa; Chordata; Cladistia; Polypteriformes; Polypteridae.
ACCCUCCCACUGCUUACCACAGUUUGUGCCAUUCCAGCACUGACUGUAUAGAAAAGGGAGGCAUAAUAACUUUUCCUUUUACAUCCUUUAGGAGCAGGCUUUGUUCUUGUCUGCUUCUUUGGAUUUGUUGGGAGAUAGAU